Molecule: non-coding RNA, 302 nt
Organism: Macrostomum lignano
Lineage: Eukaryota; Metazoa; Platyhelminthes; Macrostomidae
Source: Rfam
CUUCGCAGGUUAACCCGUGGCCUGAGUGAGGAAGGCAAUGUCCUUGCUAGUCACUAUUUGUGGCGACAUCUUCAAAUUGCGUGAAACCCGUCAUACAGCUUCAAGUACCACUUCAAUUGAGAAAUCUUUUGAAGGAACAGAGGUAACUCCUCUUCCCAAAGGUAACAAGCUUGAAGACAAAGUGGCAAUGCGCAGCCAAGCUCCUAAGUAUUUAAAUAUAAGGAGAAGGUUCAGAGAGCAGACGGAGGUGGGCGGUAAUUUAGCCGCUUAAGGUGUGCUCCAGCCUAUUUCGAAAGAUUUAG